AUUGAACGCUGGCGGCAUGCCUUACACAUGCAAGUCGAACGGUAACGGGCCUUCGGGUGCCGACGAGUGGCGAACGGGUGAGUAAUACAUCGGAACGUGCCCGAUCGUGGGGGAUAACGAGGCGAAAGCUUUGCUAAUACCGCAUACGAUCUACGGAUGAAAGCAGGGGACCGCAAGGCCUUGCGCGGACGGAGCGGCCGAUGGCAGAUUAGGUAGUUGGUGGGAUAAAAGCUUACCAAGCCGACGAUCUGUAGCUGGUCUGAGAGGAUGAUCAGCCACACUGGGACUGAGACACGGCCCAGACUCCUACGGGAGGCAGCGGUGGGGAAUUUUGGACAAUGGGCGCAAGCCUGAUCCAGCCAUGCCGCGUGCAGGAUGAAGGCCUUCAGGUUGUAAACUGCUUUUGUACGGAACGAAAAGCCUUCUUCUAAUACAGGAGGGUCAUGACGGUACCGUAAGAAUAAGCACCGGCUAACUACGUGCCAGCAGCCGCCGUAA
RNAcentral lists this ribosomal RNA (498 nucleotides) under uncultured bacterium. Its description in RNAcentral is "partial 16S ribosomal RNA". It matches the Rfam family "Bacterial small subunit ribosomal RNA", at positions 30 to 523 of the family's 1533-position model. The record is from RNAcentral.